GCAUAUCAAUAAGCGGAGGAAAAGAAACCAACAGGGAUUGCCCCAGUAACGGCGAGUGAAGCGGCAACAGCUCAAAUUUGAAAUCUGGCCCCUAGGGUCCGAGUUGUAAUUUGUAGAGGAUGCUUUUGGUGAGGUGCCGCCCGAGUUCCCUGGAACGGGACGCCGCAGAGGGUGAGAGCCCCGUCUGGCUGGCCACCGAGCCUCUGUAAAGCUCCUUCGACGAGUCGAGUAGUUUGGGAAUGCUGCUCAAAAUGGGAGGUAUAUGUCUUCUAAAGCUAAAUAUUGGCCAGAGACCGAUAGCGCACAAGUAGAGUGAUCGAAAGAUGAAAAGCACCUUGAAAAGAGGGUUAAACAGUACGUGAAAUUGUUGAAAGGGAAGCGCUUGUGACCAGACUUGGGCGCGGCGAAUCAUCCGGGGUUCUCUCCGGUGCACUUCGCCGCGUUCAGGCCAGCAUCAGUUCGGCGCGGGGGAAAAAGGCUUCGGGAACGUGGCUGCCCCGGCAGUGUUAUAGCCCGUUGCAUAAUACCCUGCGCUGGACUGAGGACCGCGCAUCUGCAAGGAUGCUGGCGUAAUGGUCACCAGCGACCCGUCUUGAAACACGGACCAAGGAGUCGUCUUCGUAUGCGAGUGUUCGGGUGUCAAACCCCUACGCGUAAUGAAAGUGAACGCAGGUGAGAGCUUCGGCGCAUCAUCGACCGAUCCUGAUGUUCUCGGAUGGAUUUGAGUAAGAGCAUACGGGGCCGGACCCGAAAGAAGGUGAACUAUGCCUGUAUAGGGUGAAGCCAGAGGAAACUCUGGUGGAGGCUCGCAGCGGUUCUGACGUGCAAAUCGAUCGUCAAAUAUGGGCAUGGGGGGCGAAAGACUAAUCGAACCUUCUAGUAGCUGGUUUCCGCG
RNAcentral lists this ribosomal RNA (895 nucleotides) under Trichoderma petersenii. RNAcentral's name for it is "LSU rRNA". It matches the Rfam family "Eukaryotic large subunit ribosomal RNA", at positions 38 to 962 of the family's 3401-position model. Lineage: Eukaryota; Fungi; Ascomycota; Sordariomycetes; Hypocreales; Hypocreaceae. The record is from RNAcentral.